CAAUCCAAAAGUAACAUUAUCUUUGAGUCGAGGAAAACAGUACACAAAUCAAAGGAAAUCAUGAGACAAUUAAUAUCAAAAUUAAAAAUCAAUUGAAUUUCCUCGAGUCAUUUAAUUAAGAAAAUCAAUUAAACUCUUUGAUUAAUUAACCGAUUUUUCAAAAAACAAACUGUUACUUUCUCCCACUAGGGUUCGUAUGUUAAUUGUGAUCUUUUGGUCAAUUCAUUUGUUUUUGUUUCUCUUUGUCUAAGUUGAUUAAUUUGUUGAUUAUUUCCUUCAAUCGUUGAUUGUUAAUUGAUUUAAAUUGUCUAAUCACUUGAAGAGCUUCUGUGUUUCAAUUUGUGAACAAUUAAGGAAAACUAAAAGUAAAAGUGUUAAUUAGAAUGAAAAGAUUUUGUAAUUUCCUUGGUAACAAAAAUGGCGACAAAACUGUUGAGUCAACAUCCUUUUCCUAUGGUUACAUAAUUAUCGGUUUGUAAGAAGGCGAUUGUAUCUUAAUCAAUAAGAUUGACCAUCAGUUUCUUAUGUAUGUGUUACUCUAUGUGCUCAGGUAAAGUGAUUGUGAUUAGUGAAGCAAAGAAGACAAAAAGGAAAAAUUUUUUUUUCUCCACCAAAAAUGAGGAAGAAAAAAGUGUAUGAAAGGUAAACUUGGUGAUUGUUGCUACUGGCGUUUUGCUUACUACCUAUUGUUGAGUUGAUUUUUUUUUUCCUUUCUUCUUCUUAUUCUACCCCCUGUACUUGGUUCGGAUGCUGUAGUUAGUCCUGAUUCCGGUUGACAAGAAGCCAUAAUGGGAAAAACGAUGUACCCUGUUAUCCCCAUUAAUUCAAUCUUUCAACCGUUACCCUUUUGUGUUCAACAUGAUUCCCAUCAUCAUCAUCAUCAUCAUCAUCUUCAUCUCAUCAUCAUAGCUCUUUCUUUUCUCAUCUCACAACUUUCUUCUUCUUCCUCAUCUUUUUAUCAUCUUCAACCUUUUGGAACCGUAAAAGUCUUAACCAAAUUGUAAUCAAUGAACCAGAAUCUGUUGAAAUUUGUUAAGAGAGAGCGAUGGCCGAUGAUGAUACCCUAAAUUGUAUCAAAUCUGUUUACCUGAUUUACUAUUACACGAAUGAUGAGAAAAAUGAUCAAGAGGAUUAAGAGGAUUAAGAUAAUGAUAACAAAUUGAUUGAAAUUUCAUCUUUUCCUUCAUCAAGUGUCAUUCAUAUAA
Panonychus citri (citrus red mite) is the source of this 1205-nucleotide long non-coding RNA. RefSeq lists it as uncharacterized. The record is from RefSeq and is a predicted model, not a curated record. The transcript has 4 exons. NCBI's taxonomy places the organism in Eukaryota, Metazoa, Arthropoda, Arachnida, Trombidiformes, Tetranychidae.